AACUCUGAAUUACCUGUCUCUUGAAGACUCUAAACAUGACAGCUAAAACUGCCUGCUAUCUCCGCUGCUAAGUGCGGCUAAGCUUAGAUCUCAAUGCUAGGGCUAGAGGUUUAGUGAGUGAGCUUUUUGUUUUUCUUCCUCAACACUCGAUCAUAACAUAACAUCAUCACGUUAUGAACUUGGAAAAUUUUACUUCACUACUUUAGAAAAGACUUGGCUUUUAGUAAACAUUGGAUGAUACACCUGUGGUUCUGACAGGCUCAAUGAUUUCCUGAUGGAUUUGCAAGAACUAAGCAAGCUGCUGAAAACACAGUUGGCACAUCUGCUUGUGUCUAUCCCUGAAUCGAAGGAUCUGGUUCUUGAUGCUGACCUUACCAAACCAUUAGACAGAGUGGCUGGUAUAUCUUUUUUGAAGGAACAUGGAGUGGACAAAAUAUUCAAACUGGAGGCAGGUCAAAAAGCCCUUCCUGGCUGUGGACAGCGAGUUUAUCUUGUUCAUCCCAAGAUGACUACCAUGAAAUAUAUUGCUGAUCAUAUCAAAACUGAGAGGGGUAAAGGAGAGAGAAGAGCAUACAAAAUUGUUUUUGUCCCAAGAAGAUUGCAUAUUUGUGAGAAAAUCCUAGAGAGUGAGGGUGUGAUGGGAUAUGUCACACUGGAUGAAUUUCCCUUGGAAUUGUUCCCUCUGGACACUGACCUGUUAUCUUUGGAGACCCCAGAUUUCUUCAAGUCUUUUUACCUUGAAAAUGACACAACAUAUCUUCACACUGUAGCAUCAUCUCUCGUUAAUCUUCAGCGAUUGUUUGGGAAAAUACCAAAUGUUUACACCAUAGGGAAAGGAGCGAAGAUGACCUAUGAGCUAAUGCAGUCCAUGUUUGAAGCUCACGUGGACAGGAAAGAGUCAAAGUUUCACGUUGGGCAGCUUUUCAUAGUUGACAGAGACGUUGAUUUGAUUUCUCCAAUGUGUUCAGCCAUGACAUAUGAAGCUCUGCUGGAUGAGACAUUUGGCAUUGAAUGUUGUAUGAUAAACUUUGACUCCUCUGUGACGGGUGACAACAAAGACACGAAGUUGUUGCUCACAAGUCAGGAUGAGAUUUACAGCCAGAUUCGUGACCGGCACUUUGCUCAUGUAUUUUCUUAUCUGAGUGCAAAAGCCAAAGACCUUCAAGCUAUUUACAGUAAAAAGAACAACUUGAAGACAGUCGGAGACAUGAAGGAAUAUGUCGCCAAUGAGCUGCGAGUGCUGAAGCAUCAACAGAAAUUGCUAGCCACACACAUAGGAGCUUGUGAGGUGAUAAUGAAGACCAAGAACAAAUCUGAUUUUGAAAGCUUCAUAAGGACAGAACACAGUUUAUUAGAAGGUACAGAUACAAAGGAAAACCUGAAUUAUAUAGAGGAAUGUCUCCAGAAACAGUUUUCUCCAACACUUACACUUCGACUGAUGUGCCUUCUUUCACUUACACAAGAAGGUUUGAGUGCUCGUGACUACAAAAAUCUCACUACCCAGUUUUUGCAUAGUCAUGGAUUUGAGCACCUGGUAACAUUCCUGAGCCUAAAGAGACUAGGCCUCCUGACCGUGCAGGAGGUGGGUGGAGUUGGGAAUCGAGCAGGACCAUCAUUGGGCAAAAAGUCCAACUACCGCAUGUUGAACCGUCGGCUGGCGUUGGUCCCCAAGCAAGGGGAGGAGACUGAUCUGAAGACUCCAACAGACAUGUCCUACAUAUUCAGUGGUGCAUACACUCCUAUCUCAUGCAAGCUGAUUGAGCAGAUCCUGACAAGAGAUACCCUCGUUGGUCUGGAAGAAGUUGGAAGAUUAUGUGGUGGUCUGUUCUCUGACAUCAAACAAAAGAAGCAACCAGCUUCUGGUAGGUCUGGUGCUCCGACUGACCCUGUUAUGAAAGUGGCCCUUGUGUACUUCCUGGGUGGCUGUACCUACAGUGAAAUCUCUGCACUCCGUUUCAUCUCGAGACAACUUGGAGUGCGGAUCAUUGUUGCCACAACAGCCAUUGUUAGUAGCCAAAGUCUGCUGGGUGAUAUAAUGGAGAAGUCAGGACGCUAAGACCAAGGAUCCACCUUACAGCAACUAAACUUAGUUGAUGGUUACUAAGUUAUCUGUAGACAAACUGUUUCUUAAGGUGUGCCAAAGACAACAGUUGCAAACAUGUUUGACACCACUAUAAAUACAACAAAUUUUUAAAGAGGCAGAAACUCCAAAUCUACAUUCCAAAAUUCCAGGACUGAGAUAAGUCAAGUGAGUUGUGAACCUUAAAAAAUUCAUGAAACGACCCAAGUUAAAAAAUGGGCUGUUUUGGAUUUGAAUGAGGAUCAUCUUGCCAUUUCUGUUUAAGGCACUCUACGUGGAGUGUGUUUGUAUUGCUCUCGAGAUUGAUUCAAUCAUGGAUUUUCUCCCAUUUUACACAGAAGCAUCAGAACAUGUUUGUGAGAUUUUUUGCCCUGUUCGUUUCAUCUGGUAUAAGUACCGAAGAUUAGAGGUGUUACAAGAGAGUAACAAACACAAAAAAAGAAGAGAGAUAAUGACGAUAAAUGUUCGAUAGAAAAGAGCAGACCACACUUGAGCAUCUGCCAACCACCUACUGCCCUGAACUAACUAGUAUAUAGCUAAUUCCAAAUGAUGUAAAAUGAAAUUUAAAAACUUACUGUCAUCAGUGAAAUAUAUCUUUAGAGAAUUUAAACCAGUUGGACUUUUUAAACAUGAAUAUAUAAGCUUUGAAUAGCGAGUUCAAAGAGAAUGGUAUUUCCAAGACUUAUGCUUGUAAUUGUAAUAUAUUGAUCAUUGAGCAACAGACCGAGUGAAUGUACAAACUAUGUAUGGGAGAAAGAGAAUUUGUUUUUGCUUAAUAUGUUUCUGUGGGGGAGAUUUGUUUAUUGCAUAUGGGCAAGAGGCAAUUUGUUUUUGCAUCAUACAGGUUUGUGCGAGAGAGACAAUUUGCUUUUGCAUCAUGUGUCUGCAGGAGAGAGACAAUUUGUUUUUGCAUCAUACAUUCUGUGGGAGAGAGAAAGAAAAGGAGUUGUAAUUAUGCUUUAGCUGAUGUUGUACCAUACUUGACUUUUGCUUUUGUUUAGCCAAUUAAAUAUUUCUCCCCCUGUUAAAAAAUUGCAAUGUAUUUUAUAAAUGCACUUCAUGCUGUUUAUUCCUUUAGAAAGCUCAAAUGCAAUGUACAUAACAGCAAAUAUUGACAGAAUAUAUUAUAGAUUCUAUAUAUAUGUCUGUGAAUAAGAAUAAGAUAGGGAGAGAAAAUGCCACAGACUGUUAGAUAAAUUGAGGAUUUUUUUCCAUCUUUGCAUGAAUAGUUCAGAUAUUUAGCUCUGCCUAGGUAUAAGGAGUGAGCCAUUUUUUUUGUACAGCCUUGCUUAUAAUUGUAAAAGAGUCCAUUGCUUAUUCCUUUUGUUUUGUUAUUUUUUAAUGGAAAAUUUUGUGAUCAUGUACAAUCCACACAGAAAAUUAAAGGAUAAUAUUUACCU
RNAcentral lists this unclassified non-coding RNA (3480 nucleotides) under Aplysia californica (California sea hare). RNAcentral's name for it is "vacuolar protein sorting-associated protein 33B, transcript variant X3". The record is from RNAcentral. Lineage: Eukaryota; Metazoa; Mollusca; Gastropoda; Aplysiida; Aplysiidae.